Molecule: ribosomal RNA, 739 nt
Filed under: Basedowena papulankutjana
Lineage: Eukaryota; Metazoa; Mollusca; Gastropoda; Stylommatophora; Camaenidae
Description: partial 16S ribosomal RNA
Source: RNAcentral
CACGAAGCAUUUGAGCUAAUUUAACGCAUUUUAAGAGUUAGUAUGUUGCAUAAUACUAUGAUGACUUUAAAUUAGAAGUGAUAUUCUUUACACAUUUUGCGAUAUCUUGAUGUUACCAAUAAGUAUUUAGUACAAUUACAAUAAAUAAGCGCUUAGGUUUAUUUAAUAUAUCAAUUAUUAUGUGUUAAAGUUGUUCUGUAUAAUAAUUAACUACUUACAUAUAUUAGUAUUUUUGUACAUGGUUUAUAAAAAUUAGGUUACAAUAGUAAUAUUCUCACUAUUAUAUAAUGUUAUUAUAAGUAAUAAAUAGAUAUGUAUAAUGAACUCGGCAAUUAAUCUUUCAACUGUUUAUCAAAAACAUAGUUAUUAGAAUUUAUUAAUAAUUUGUUCUGCUCAAUGAAUAAUUAAAUAGCCGCAGUACCCUGACUGUGCAAAGGUAGCAUAAUCAUUUGGCUUAUAAUUGAAGUCUUGUAUGAAAGAAUAAAUGGGGGAUAACUGUAUCAUAAAUAUAAUAUUAAAUUAAUUAAAAAGUGCAAAUGCUUUUAUAGAAUUAAUAGACGAGAAGACCCUUGAAAUUUUUAGAAACAUGAAUUAUAGGUUUUUGUUGGGGCAACAAUAUAACAAAUAACUUAUAUUUUUUUACAUGAAAUAAAAUAGAUUGGAAAAAUUACUCUAGGGAUAACAGCGUAAUAUUUAAAUGUUUGCGACCUCGAUGUUGGAUUAGGAAACAACAACCUAG